Molecule: ribosomal RNA, 433 nt
Filed under: uncultured bacterium
Lineage: Bacteria
Description: partial 16S ribosomal RNA
Rfam family: Bacterial small subunit ribosomal RNA
Source: RNAcentral
AACGAACGCUGGCGGCAUGCCUAACACAUGCAAGUCGAACGAGACCUUCGGGUCUAGUGGCGCACGGGUGCGUAACGCGUGGGAACCUGCCCUUAGGUUCGGAAUAACUCCCCGAAAGGGGUGCUAAUACCGAAUAAUGUCUUCGGACCAAAGAUUUAUCGCCUUUGGAUGGGCCCGCGUUGGAUUAGCUAGUUGGUAGGGUAAAAGCCUACCAAGGCGACGAUCCAUAGCUGGUCUGAGAGGAUGAUCAGCCACACUGGGACUGAGACACGGCCCAGACUCCUACGGGAGGCAGCAGUGGGGAAUAUUGGACAAUGGGCGAAAGCCUGAUCCAGCAAUGCCGCGUGAGUGAUGAAGGCCUUAGGGUUGUAAAGCUCUUUUACCCGGGAUGAUAAUGACAGUACCGGGAGAAUAAGCUCCGGCUAACUCCGUG